RNAcentral lists this ribosomal RNA (492 nucleotides) under Triticum aestivum (bread wheat). RNAcentral describes it as "partial small subunit ribosomal RNA". Lineage: Eukaryota; Viridiplantae; Streptophyta; Magnoliopsida; Poales; Poaceae. The record is from RNAcentral.
AUGAUGAGCAUCUAUUGGAGUCGAUCAUUUCCAAGAUCUAAUUCUAGUUUCUUAUUAUGUAGUGGAAAUGCCUCACAAUCUUCAGUUUUACGCUUACGCUUAAGGGAAGAAAUGUUCUUAGUGGAUGUAGGCCCUGGUACCCCCAAAAUUUGUACGCAAGAUGAGCUUACAAGACUGCCAAUCAAGCGAGCCACCAUGUUUGAGAAUAAGGUGGGAUCCAAGGAUGUAGUGGCUGGUGAAUCACUGAUCAAAAAGCGGAUUUUUGAGAGAUUCUUCAUCGAUCUAGUGGACGGUGAAUCACUGAUCAAAGAGCGAGCAGCCGCCAGGUUUAAUGAUUAUGUGGGAUCCCUGGAUGUAACGGCUGGCAAACCGCUUCUUCCUCCACAAAGAUUCAGACAAAACCGAGCUUGGAUAGAACUGAAGAAGAUUUGGCGAAGGAAGAAAAAGGUAAAAGGGUUUAUUAUAAAAAAGUCAAAGGAGGUUAUUCAGUAG